Molecule: unclassified non-coding RNA, 329 nt
Filed under: soil metagenome
Description: partial contains 5.8S ribosomal RNA, internal transcribed spacer 2, and large subunit ribosomal RNA
Rfam family: 5.8S ribosomal RNA (bases 1-120)
Source: RNAcentral
GAUGAAGAACGCAGCGAAAUGCGAUAAGUAAUGCGAAUUGCAGAAUUCAGUGAGUCAUCGAAUCUUUGAACGCACAUUGCGCUCCCUGGUAUUCCGGGGAGCAUGCCUGUUCGAGCGUCAUUACAACCCUCAAGCUCUGCUUGGUGUUGGGCCCCGCCGCCCCGGCGGGCCCUAAAGUCAGUGGCGGUGCCGUCCGGCUCCGAGCGUAGUAAUUUUUCUCGCUUUGGAGGCCCGGGCGCGUGCUUGCCAUCAACCCCCAAUUUUUUUCAGGUUGACCUCGGAUCAGGUAGGGAUACCCGCUGAACUUAAGCAUAUCAAUAAGCGGAGGA